RNAcentral lists this ribosomal RNA (272 nucleotides) under uncultured bacterium. Its description in RNAcentral is "partial 16S ribosomal RNA". It matches the Rfam family "Bacterial small subunit ribosomal RNA", at positions 524 to 796 of the family's 1533-position model. The record is from RNAcentral.
UACGGAGGAUCCAAGCGUUGUCCGGUUUAUUGGGUUUAAAGGGUGCGUAGGCGGACUUAUAAGUCAGAGGUGAAAGCCGGUAGCUUAACUAUCGAAUUGCCUUUGAAACUGCAAGUCUUGAAUUUUGUUGAGGUAGGCGGAAUGUAUCAUGUAGCGGUGAAAUGCAUAGAUAUGAUACAGAACACCGAUUGCGAAGGCAGCUUACUAAGCAAACAUUGACGCUGAGGCACGAAAGCGUGGGGAUCAAACAGGAUUAGAUACCCCCGUAGUCC